Molecule: ribosomal RNA, 253 nt
Filed under: uncultured bacterium
Lineage: Bacteria
Description: partial 16S ribosomal RNA
Rfam family: Bacterial small subunit ribosomal RNA
Source: RNAcentral
GACAGAGGUGCCGAGCGUUAGGCGGAAUCACUGGGCUUAAAGCGUGUGUAGGCGGACUCGUAAGUGCUUUGUGAAAUCCCACGGCUCACCCGUGGAACUGCUUGGCAUACUGCGAGCCUUGAGCCACUUAGGGGCAACCGGAACAAACGGUGGAGCGGUGAAAUGCGUAGAGAUCGGAAAGAACACCAACGGCGAAAGCACUCUGCUGGGCCGACACUGACACUGAGAGACGAAAGCUAGGGGAGCGAAUGGG